CGUUUCAGCUUGACAGUCACCAUUUCCCUGGUAUGACGUGAAUCGAAGGGGUGUAUAAAAACCACAGCUGGUAAACAUCAACAGUUUUGUUGCCUGUUAAGUCUGGUUCUUACGUUACAUCAAAAUACCUGAGAAGUGCUGUUCUUUCUUCUGCAAGUUCCCACAAGUCUAGAAGCUACAGUUGAAAAUCCACUUGAAUUGGCAUAAUGGUAUACACAGAAUGCAACUGCUUCUGGAGCAAAAACCAUUGAUGUUUAUUGAUAUUCAAUUCAAAUGAUAGAUGUAUUGUUAUAAGGAUUAUUAAUUGUGGUGUAUAACCAUCCUCUUUUGCUUUUUGUGUCAAUGUUCUGCAUCUCUUCUUCUCUGAGUAUCUGUACUCUGCACUGUCUGCACUCUGUGGUGUACUCUAUGCACUCUCUCUCUCUGUCUCUAUUCUCCCUCUGUGAUGGCCGGAAGGGCGCAGAUAAAUGGCUGUAUGUAGCCAGUACACAUGUACAAAAAACAUACAACGGCUGAAAUAUGCUACCAAACAAAUGGCUAAAAUGUGCCGUCAAACAAAUGGCUUGAUACUACUACAAGACUACGUAUGCCUACCAGCUACGUUUACCUACCAGAUCACGUAUGCCUACCAGCGGCGUGUAGCCACUACCAGACUGCGUUGAAGCCACCAAGUUGACUCCGGUCAUGUAUUCCUUGUUUUCAUUUGAAUACAGUCAUUUCAAUUAAUGUUUAGUUUGCAGAAUAAGAUUUUAUAUCACCUGUCAUUUCUCUAAUCAUAAUUUUGGAUCUCCCUAGGCUUGUCAAGCGACACACAACCUGCUCAAAGUGGAUUGGGAGCUUAUUCAGCAAUGCGUAAAGUUCCAGGGUCUAGUUUUGUCUGGAGAGGAGGACAUGGACUGGGCUGAUAUGUCUGGAGGAAUAACCUGUUGUCACAACGAUGAGGAAUCUGAGGAGAUGGACUGGAAGUUAAGCAAUCCAAGUUUCUGGACCUGGAGGCAAAAAGGAUUUGAUGAUGACGACUAAGCACAUCUUGUCACAAUGACAUUGAUCAUCUGAUUCAAGAUACAGGUUGACGAAGGCCGGGAUGGACAGUUCAAACUUCUGCUUUCCUCUGUCACCAACCAUCUCUGGAGGAGGGGAUCCCUCGCCGAAUUGCUCCUCCCAAGGUUUCUUCCAAUUUGUUUUUCUGGGAGUUUUUCCUUGUCUUCCUUGAGGGUUUAGGUUGGUUGAGGGUCAGUUCUAUGGGCGUAUGUGAAGCCCUCUGUGGCUUUGCUUGUAAAACGUUUAUUUGUAUACGCUGUAAAUACAAGUCUGAACUUGGCCUUGCCACAAAACCUUUUCUGACACAUUUGGCUGGACGAUUGUUUGAAAUCUACAUUCUACGGUCCAUUAACUUUUAACGGACCAUGGAUGGACUGCUGUAGAUUUAACCCAAAAGUCAGAUUCCUCUCAAUGAUUUUUUCCUGGAGUUCUCUUUCCUGUUUCUGUGUGUUUUUAGGUUACCUGUGAGGACGAUGCUUGUAAAUUGUUAGACUAUAUCAAUUAGAUUAACCAGUCAAAUAGAAUUAAUAGUUGGCAAUGCCUGCCCAAAUGGAAUGCUGUGCCCCCACAAAUUACUUGGUUAAAAUAUAAAUAAGUGUAAUAAUUUUGUCUGAGUUGAUAUGAUGAUGCUUUAUAAUAAUAAAAAAAAUAAUGAAUUGUUCAUGUUCAAUCCA
Molecule: long non-coding RNA, 1715 nt
Organism: Hypomesus transpacificus
Lineage: Eukaryota; Metazoa; Chordata; Actinopteri; Osmeriformes; Osmeridae
Exons: 5
Source: RefSeq, a predicted model, not a curated record